Molecule: long non-coding RNA, 3170 nt
Filed under: Panax ginseng (ginseng)
Lineage: Eukaryota; Viridiplantae; Streptophyta; Magnoliopsida; Apiales; Araliaceae
Description: long non-coding RNA (PGIN_LNC001453)
Source: RNAcentral
GAAGUUGAAGAGCUAGUUGUCUCCGUCUUGAUUUUGGGUCUUCUAUUAGUUUCUCUCUCCUCUUGACUAGUCCUCCUCUAUAAACACGACAGUGAUCGGUGACGCGGGACUUAGAAGAAUCCAUGGCAUAUCUCCUUCACGUGAACGAAAAUUGAUCUCGAGACUCGGAUUCAACGAUUAUACCUCUGAGAUCAAGUAAAAUACCACCAACCUCAAAUUCUUUUAGUCAUAAAUUCAAAUUCAUACCUCAGGUUGAUACCGCUCGUCCUCUCUUUCAUUGUUUCUCUCUAGAUUUCUUUCAUCUUUAUUCUAUUUAUAUGUCAAAUUCAAGAGGGCCUCAGUUUGAGGGGGAUUGCUUCAAAUAAAAUAAUUUCAUUUUAUGUUUAGUUUGAAUAUUUUUAUUUAUUGGGAUUAUGUUUUGUAAAAAGAUGCAAGUCGUGAUAUAAGACUUCGGGCUUGAGGGGAGUGUUACAGUAUUCUAAACGAAUAGAAAUAGUUUGAUUCGCAUAAUCUUAGGAUUGAUUUGAUUAACAUAAUUAGCGGUGUUAGGAUUAUUCUAGACGCAUCAUCAGUGGUAAUCAUUGAUAUUAUUGAUUGUUUUCCUUUCUAAGGUAACAAUAUAUCCCAUAUUUCUUUGCUUUCAAGGCCAAUUUGAAAAUCAUUAGCUUGUUGUAAUAUCCCCUUACAACAUCUACCUCCCUUGUCAGCAGUUCUUUGCAUUGGGUUGUACAUCUAAUCUCCAACCAAUCCUUACUGCAAGAUGGUCUUUUCAAGCACCAUUUUUGGAACUUUUCUACAGUGAUUGGUGUUUGGACUUUUCAUCAGAUUCACUCAGAGAAAAACAAAGCGGAGUCGAAUGGCUAGUUGUCUCGGUCUUGAAUUUGGAUCUUCUAUCAGUUUAUUUCUCCUCUUAAAUGGUUAUCCUCAUCUGUAAACACAACAAUCUGGUGACACAGUGGACUUUGGAAGAAUUCAUGGCAGAUCUCCUUCUAGCACCCCACAUGAACGAAAAUUGAUCUUAAGACUCAGGAUUCGCCUACCUCAAAUUCUUUUUUAGUUGCAAAAUCAAAUUCAUACAUUGAUACCGCUCUUGCUCUCUUUCAUUGUUUCUCUAUCUAAAUUUCUUUGAUGCUUUUUAUUAUUAUUAUUCGUGCAAUUUGAAGAGAGCCUCAAUUUUGAGGGAGUUGUUGGGAAUAAAUAAUUUUGUUUGAAUCUUUUUAUUUUGGGGAUUAUAUUUUGUAACAAGUUGUAAGUCGUGAUAUAAGACUUCUAGCUUGAGGGGUAGUGUUAAGAGUAUCCUAUAGGAAUAUAAAAUUAGUUUGAUUAGCAUAAUCUUAAGAUUGACUUGAGUUACAUAAUUAGUGGUGUUUGGAUUAUUCUAGAUGCAUGCAAUGUCACUGGUAAUCAUUAAUAUUCUUGAUUGAUUUCUUUUUCAAGGUAGCAAUUUAUCCCAUCUUUCUUUGCUUUAAAGGCCAAAUUAAAAAUCAUUAGCUUGUUGUAAUAUCCCCGUGCGACAUUUACCUACCUUGUCAAUAGUUCUUUACAUUGGAUUAUACAUCUAUAAUCUUCAACCAAUCAUUUCUUCUUUGCAAGAUAGGUCUUUUCGAGCACCUUUUUUGACCUUGUCUUCAGUGAUUGGUGCUUGUACUUUUCAUCCGUCACUCGGAGAAAAAGAAAGCGGAAUCGAAGGGCAAGUCAUCUCCGUCUUGACUUUGGGUAUUCUAUCAGUUUAUCAAUCCUCUUAACUAGUCCCGUAUUCUAUCAGUUUAUCUUGCCUCUUGACUAGUUCUCCUUUAUAAACGCGGUGGUGACUAGUGAUGUGAUGGACUUUUAGUAGAAUCCAUUGUAGUUAUCCUUCUUCUAACACCCCACAUGAACAAAAUUUGAUCUUGAGACUCAAAUUCAACGAUUAUAUUUCCAAAAUCGAGUAAAAUAUAGUCUAUCAUAAAUUCUUUUUUAAUCGCAAAAUCAAAUUCAUACCUUUCACUGAAACCGUUCGUGUUUUCUUUCAUUGUUUCUCUCUCCAGAUUUCCUUUAUUCCUUUUUUUUUAGUUUGGACAAAUUGAAAAGGAACUCAAUUUGAGGGGGAGUGUUGGAGAUAAAAUAAUUUCACUAUAUGUUACAUUUAAAUCUUUGAAUUUUUGGAUUAUGUUUUGUAACAAACUGUAAGCCAUGAUAUAAGACAUCCAGCUCGAGGAGAAAUGUGUAUUUUCCUCUAGAAUUAGUUUGAUUCGGAUAAUCUUGCAUUGAUUUGAUUGACAUAAUUAGUCGUGUUAAGAUUAUACUAGAUGCAUGGUCAGUGGUAAUCAUUGACAUCACUAAUUGAUUUCUUUUCCAUGUUUAGCUUUAAAUUUUAGUUGCUUUCCCUUGUAACAGUCUUUUAGCUCUCAUAAAUUACAUUAAUUUUGUAUGCAAGAAAUAAAUAUCCAGAAAAAAAAAACACACACACACACACUUACACUUGUGCCUUGCACUUGCACGGGAUUUUUAAGCAGUUAGCCUAAUGUACCAAUUAUUAACUUAAGGAUCCUCUAGAUUAGUUCCAAACAGAGCUUAGUUCCGACACUUUCAAAUAGGCCACUCUCUCGUACCAUUUGUUAUGAUCGAUCCCCAAAUGAACCUGGUCCACUAGUACAAAAACCCCAGGGUCAACUGAGCCUACCACUAGUGCACCCACCUAAAAUCUUGCGUGGAAGACAACACUGAGACAAGUAAUACAUUAUUAUCAAAAGAGGGAAGUAAAAACAUUAUUAUCAAAAGAGGCAAGUAAUUACAUUAUUAUCAAAAGAUGAAAGUAAACCACCAUAAUAUAUUUUGGGGAGCACUCUUUACACAAUCUAUUUGUGCUAGCUCCACAAGUUUUCUUUCACAUAAAAAUGGGUGGGACCCACCUCACUCACAUGUGAGAGGAAGAGUUGUGAAAUUUUCAAAAAUGUAUAUCUAUAGAGACUUGUGGAAACCCUAUAUUUUCAACAAAAAAUAAUAUUUUGCAGCCAUGGAUAAAUAUUUAAAUCUGCAACAGUAGACAAAAUGAAAGCAAGUAAAUGACCAUGAAUACCAACGAGCAAGGUUUUUAAAACCGAACCGGUCAUCGAACCGGAAAAGUUACCGGGUGGAUGAAUCACUGGUCCAACCAGUGGUCGGAUCGUUAUUGACCCAGUGACGUCAUU